UAUCGUGGAUUAGAAUAAUAUUUUUUUUAUUCAAUUAUGGUCACUCAGAGUGCAUGCUCGGGGCGUGCAUUUCGUGGCCGAGGAGUACCCCACACUAGCGUCUCCCGAGCGUCGGCGUCUAGUCAACUCUAUGGCUGCUGCUCGACGCAAUGUUAGCGCAACUGCGCAGCGACGCCAUUUUCCAUAACGCUGACUAGACACCGACGCUCAAAAGAUGCUAGUGUGGGAUGGGGUAAACACUGCAUAUUUUCUUACUUCAACGCGUAACUAAUCAGUUUUGUUUCAGUGAUGCCAUUAUUGCAGGCAUGUUGUAUGACCGCCUCUUUGCGCACGGGAUGCUUAAUAAUAGGAAUACUUAUGUUAAUAACGUCCCUUUUAGUCUGCGGAUAUCCCAGCUACGAGGGUUUUGCUUUAAUUUUAGCUACUUUCAUAUACAUAGAUUGUAUAAUAACAGCAAUAACCAGCAUUUUGUUUCUGGUGUUUGGGAUUUAUGUGGAUAGGUUAUGGGCAAUGAUAAUGUAUGCAAAUAUAUUGGUAAUAAAAAUAUUCGUGGAUUUAAUACUUUUUAUUUUCGCAAUAAUUUUAGGAAGCAAGUUUAUUUUCAAUCUAAUAAACGCAAUAUUUAUGACGUUUUAUAACAUGUACUGUUUUUGGGUGGUGUACAGUUACUACAGGGAAAGUGCUGGGGAUCUUAUUCCGUUGUGAGACACGAUUCAGAAACAGUGAGAUGUCCUAUGUUCUGCACAAAAAUAAUAAUUUGCCUAAUUAAAUGCGUCGAGAAACGCAAUGGAAUCGUGUGACUGAAAUCGGAAUUUAAAAGGAUCCUUGGAAAGAUUCUCCACUCUGCGAGCGCAGCGAGGAAACGAUGCUUCCAACGCUGUUACCUUCACUCGUAUUCUGGACCAGCUGAAGAUUUGGAUCAGUCACGUCUGAGUUGGUUACCUGGCUAGAUACUGGGUACUAAUUAACUUCAGUGAAAUUCAAAUCAGAACCAAGAACAAAGUUGCUUUUGUGACGUUUCGUUCGAUUUUAAAACCGAACCCAGUCUAUUCUAUUUUCUAGUACCAUUGAUUCAAUAUUGACUACCAUUUUCUUACAUGGUGGGCCGUUAAAGCUCUGGCUAUGACUGUCGUUACCUGGAUAUUUUCUGCUAUAUUCAUAAUAGCUAGCAUUGCGUUCCUGUAUUGCGGGGUUCAUAAGAAUGGAGCGCAGACUAAACGAGCAUAUGCGAUGAUACUACUGAUAAAACUAUUCGUCACAAUAAUAUUUUUUAUUGUUCUUGCUGUAAAAUACGGAUUUGUAAAUUUCGGUUUAGCUGUCGGUUUGAUCAUUCUUGAAGUCAUUGUCGAUAUUUACUUUUUCGUGGUGGUAUACAGUUACUACAAGGAACAAACAGUUAUUCCGGAAAGAACUUGAAGUCAAACUCACCCCAUCACUAAACCAAACAUAGGCAAAUCCACGGUAAAAGAAAUACAACAGCCAUUCUUGAUCGUAUUUGUGAAGUGUUUUGGAAAUAAGUUCAAUAUUAUAAACCUGUUUAGUGUAUAAUGUAAGGUUUAUAUUAUAUUAUCUAAUUAUAAUUAAUUUUUCGUAAAAUUAAACAUACGUAAAUGAC
Long non-coding RNA from Cydia pomonella (codling moth), 1615 nucleotides. RefSeq lists it as uncharacterized. NCBI's taxonomy places the organism in Eukaryota, Metazoa, Arthropoda, Insecta, Lepidoptera, Tortricidae. The record is from RefSeq and is a predicted model, not a curated record. The transcript is spliced from 9 exons.